This 207-nucleotide ribosomal RNA is filed under the name uncultured bacterium. RNAcentral's name for it is "partial 16S ribosomal RNA". It matches the Rfam family "Bacterial small subunit ribosomal RNA", at positions 568 to 775 of the family's 1533-position model. The record is from RNAcentral.
AGCGCAGACGGUUGAUUAAGUCUGAUGUGAAAGCCCGGAGCUCAACUCCGGAAUGGCAUUGGAAACUGGUUAACUUGAGUGCAGUAGAGGUAAGUGGAACUCCAUGUGUAGCGGUGGAAUGCGUAGAUAUAUGGAAGAACACCAGUGGCGAAGGCGGCUUACUGGACUGUAACUGACGUUGAGGCUGAAAGUGUGGGUAGCAAACAG